CCGACGGGUGCGCUGGUGAGUUCGGCGGCGGUGGUGGCGUUCCACCGGACGGCGCCGUUCGCGUUGGCGCUGGUGUUCGUGACGGCGUCGUCGGCC
RNAcentral lists this transfer RNA (96 nucleotides) under Streptomyces cyanogenus. RNAcentral's name for it is "tRNA-Arg". Lineage: Bacteria; Bacillati; Actinomycetota; Actinomycetes; Kitasatosporales; Streptomycetaceae. The record is from RNAcentral.